UUAAAGUUACAUUAUCAUUUUUAUAUAUAUAUAUAUAUGAAAAAGAGUUAUCACAUACCUAGAUUAUAAAUACCAUUUCAGCCGGUCAGAGUGAUUUUGCAGCUGGUUUCCAUUUCCCAACACUCCUGUAUUGCUAAUCUGCCAUUGAAAGAAUUCUUAAAGAGAGAUGCAAAAAGUUUUAUCAAGAUCUUAACUAGUAAUAAAAAGCGGAGAAACUAGGGAUUUGAGGUUUGAAACUUUUUUUAUGGUUUUCAUUUGUCAAUGUAUUUGUUUCUUUUAUAGGCUAUUGGAAAGAGCACUUAAAAAAUAAUUCUUCAACAUUUGCAGUAGUGUUAUCAAAGGCGAAAAGCGCAAAAACGCUCUAAGGUCCAUUGGGGCUUUAAGCACAAAGCCCAAAUAAAGCGUGAUCUUUAAUGAAAAAAGGCGCAACUGAAAAAAAGUAAAAAUAUGUAUAUGUAGUUGAAGACUAAUAAUUAUAAGCAUGAAUAACAAAUAUAUGAAUAAAGAAAUUGAUUUUUUUUGCGACAAAGCAAGAUAUCAAUUGUUUAAUAUCGCAUUUUCAGGAUUACACUCGUUGGCAAGGAAAAAUAUGUCAUAAAGCCUUGAUGUGAUACUAAAGCGCCCACAAAGCAAGGCGAAACACUCAACAUGUUUUGAGCCUCGCUUCAGGGCUUAAGCGCGCCUUUGACAAUACUGAUUUGCAGUUCAAAUUCUGAAACAAAAUAAAUCCUAACUAAAAUACAUCAUUGAUCCUAGCGAUAGUACUAGUGUUAUCCUCGUGUUCGCUAUUUUUAGAUCGAUAUUAUUACAUGAUGUUUUUCGUGCUUUGUUUUUAUUUUUUCUGGCUGUUGUUACAAUUUCGUUUUCCGUAGUUUGUUUUCAUAAUUGCUGGGAUUUUUCUGUAUUGAACCGAGGGUCUUCCAGAAACAGUCUCUCUACCUUCAUAAAGUAGAGGUAUGGACUGUGUACAUACUACCCUCUCCAGAUCCCAUUUGUUGAAAUAUAUUAGCUAUGUUGUUGUUGUUUAAUACAUCAUGAGCACUUUAUCUUCACUAAGCAUAUGUAUCUAUGUGUGUGUGUAUAGUAGUGUUGUAUUUGCUUCUUCCUUGAGCAUAUUGAAUAUGAAUCUUGUGUUUGGAUGACAAGUGAGGCUUGCUCAGUUGGUAAAAGUACCUCCAUCGACCGUUAGGUCCUGAGUUCGAGUCACACUGGAAGGGAAGUGUGGAAACCGAAUCUUUCAUCGAAAAAAUAAAAGAUACAACUAUUCACCCUCAAACGUAUAGAUAUAUAAAACAUAUGUGUUGGCUAGUUGGAGGUAGCAGGUAGCCAGGUACUGGAUUGAUUAGUUGAGGUAUGCGCAUAGUUCGUAUUACCAUUGUAAGAAAAGAUAAACUCGUAUUAAACAGCUUUUUGGCAGCUAUCAAGUGGAUAUAAUUUUUAACUUAUAUUUGAUAGCAAUUUAAUCUUUUUAUACAAUACAACUAAUACAAGAGCGUGACUGAAAGGUAUGACGUUCGAUUAAUCAGAAGCAUUGACUUCGUGGAACUUGCAGCUUUCAGGUCAUAAUUGGAAAACAGUAGAUAUGGCUUAUGCUAGUGUUGCUUCUCUUAUGAGAACAAUGGAAUCGGUCUUGACAUCCAAUUCGCUAAUGCAAUCUCUAAGAGAAGAAUUUAGCGGUCUUCAUGACAAAAUUAGUUCCCUUGAAGUUUUUCUCAAAAUUUUUGAGAAAGGCAAUGUUUCUGGAGAAAUGACAGACUUGGAGAUACAGAUAAAAGAAGUUGCAAAUGCUAUUGAACACACAAUUCAACUGCGACUAAUAGAUUCUGUAAUGGCAGAUGAUGAAAUGCAGAAAGAAAUGGCAGAUGAGAGGCUCUAUGAUAGCCUAAAACAAGUAUCCGAGGAAUCUUUGGUUCAAGACUCAAGUUUAGGAAAACAUACUCCGAAUGUGGAGAACAUGAAUAUGGUGGGACGUGAUGAUCAAAGAAAAAAAUUGCUAGAAGAUCUGACUAAAGGCUUCACUAGUGAAUCCAAGGUCAUCCCGAUUGUCGGGAUGGGGGCAUUGGCAAAACAACUCUAGCAAGAGAAGUUUACAAUGAUGCAUCCAUUCGACUUCAUUUCGAUGUUCGUGAAUGGGCUACUAUUUCGCAACAACACAAUGUAAACGAGAUCUUGCUGAGCCUUGUGCAUUCUACAAAGGGUGAUUCAUUUUACAUGGAAGGUGAGGCAGAGCUAGCAAACAUGCUACAAAAGAGUUUAAAGGGUAAGAGGUACUUAAUUGUAUUGGAUGACAUGUGGAAGAGUGAAGCAUGGGAUGAUAUUAGACUAUGCUUUCCAAUUCAAAACAAUGGGAGUCGAAUAUUGUUGACGACUCGUAAUGCUGAAGUAGUUUGUUCUGCUGGUACAAAGAAUCUUUCUUUGAAGAUGGAUUUCUUGAAUCCAUAUGAGAGUCGGAACCUUUUUAAAAGUGCAGCGUUUACAAAUGAAGCAUUGUCAUAUGAGUUUGAGAUCAUUGGGGAGUAAAUUGUAGACAAAUGUCAAAGGGUUACCACUAACUAUUGUCGCGGUUGCUGGGCUUGUGUCCAAAUGUAAAAGGACAAUAGAAGUUUGGGGAAAUGUUGCUAAAGAUGUAAAAUCAUUUGUCACAAAUGAUCCCGAUGAAAGAUGUUUACAUGUGCUCUGGUUGAUGUUUAACCAAAGAAUUAGAUUCUCAGUCAAAGCCUAUUUUUAGAAGUACUCGGGUUACUGAUAAUCAAGAAAUUCAAUGUUCUCUCAGAAAUAAGAAAGGAAAUUAGAAUAAGAAAUGACAAAGUAAUUAAUAGAAAGCACAAGAAAGUAAUUAUAUUCCAAUAAUAAUCAGAAUAUGUCUAUACAAAUGACAUUUCUUUCCCUUAUAUAGAGGUCUUCAAGUACAAUGUCUUUUCCCUUUUAAGACCGAGUCAUUAUGAGCAUUAAUGACAUUAAUGAAACGUUAUAAUUAAUAAUCGUAACUGUU
Molecule: non-coding RNA, 2992 nt
Organism: Nicotiana tabacum (common tobacco)
Lineage: Eukaryota; Viridiplantae; Streptophyta; Magnoliopsida; Solanales; Solanaceae
Source: RefSeq, a predicted model, not a curated record